GAUGAACGCUGGCGGCGUGCCUAAUACAUGCAAGUCGAGCGAACGGACGAGGAGCUUGCUUCUCUGAUGUUAGCGGCGGACGGGUGAGUAACACGUGGAUAACCUACCUAUAAGACUGGGAUAACUUCGGGAAACCGGAGCUAAUACCGGAUGAUAUUUUGAACCGCAUGGUUCAAAAGUGAAAGACGGUCUUGCUGUCACUUAUGGAUGGAUCCGCGCUGCAUUAGCUAGUUGGUAAGGUAACGGCUUACCAAGGCAACGAUGCAUAGCCGACCUGAGAGGGUGAUCGGCCACACUGGAACUGGGACACGGUCCAGACUCCUACGGGAGGCAGCAGUAGGGAAUCUUCCGCAAUGGGCGAAAGCCUGACGGAGCAACGCCGCGUGAGUGAUGAAGGUCUUCGGAUCGUAAAACUCUGUUAUUAGGGAAGAACAUAUGUGUAAGUAACUGUGCACAUCUUGACGGUACCUAAUCAGAAAGCCACGGCUAACUACGUG
RNAcentral lists this ribosomal RNA (497 nucleotides) under uncultured bacterium. RNAcentral's name for it is "partial 16S ribosomal RNA". It matches the Rfam family "Bacterial small subunit ribosomal RNA", at positions 28 to 507 of the family's 1533-position model. The record is from RNAcentral.